Long non-coding RNA from Phyllostomus hastatus (greater spear-nosed bat), 2798 nucleotides. RefSeq lists it as uncharacterized. The transcript is spliced from 3 exons. The record is from RefSeq and is a predicted model, not a curated record. NCBI's taxonomy places the organism in Eukaryota, Metazoa, Chordata, Mammalia, Chiroptera, Phyllostomidae.
CCACCGCUCCACCUCCUCGGCGACCCCCGAGCCCGCAGCUCCUUUGGCCGCAGCGCGGGCUUUCGGGUUCCCGGCCUCUGAAAUUGCUGGGUUCGCGCCUGCGCUCCCGCGGGGCGGCCUCAGGGCCCAACGCGCGGAAUCCGGACACAGCGCCCUCGCCGCGGGCCGGACCUGGCGAGUCCCUUGGGUCCGCGCUCAGCCGCCACAGCGGGGCGUGAGGGCGCCACAAAGCAGCCCACGUGGAAACCCCCGCGAGAACCGGGCCUGGGGCAGAAGGGGCAGCAGAUCUGAGGCUUGGCAGGUCGAGGGCGCCUUGGGGAGCCGCCUCUCUGUGGGGCUUCUCGGAAGGGAAGGUUCCCAGAACGCAGCGGCAACGGAGUGGGUGAUGCUGGUCGCCCAAACCCCAGGCUGCUCUGGGUGGGCGAUUUUGUCCGCGGGCUUCCCGGGGCUGCGAGCCAGCUUCUGGGAGCUGCUCGGGAGAGCGGCCGCUCUCUCUGCUCUCCUGCUCUAAUGCAGAGGGCAGAUACCUGAUUUCAUGGAGUUCCAAUAACUUUUCAGUAACUUAAAAAUCCUUGUCAAGAAGAAACUACCGUAGCAAGUUUCUAUGUUCAUUUUGAAAAACUGGCCACUGAAGGCGGCUGCAUGCUUUUCGAACGGAACUUGUGACCCCUCCGGGAUGGUGUAAACUUAUUCAGCUCCAAAUAUAGUCCAGUAUUCUGCCCUGCAUUCAAGGAGACCAUUUUUUUUUCCACAUGAAAAGUCUUACAGACACACAAACUUCUCUUCAAACCAGUGUCGGUUUCAUUGCAAGGAAAUAGCAGAGUGUUUAAGAUGGAGAUGGCUAUGGCUGAGCUGGAACCAGAAAAGGGGACCAGGUGUGAGCCAGUGGCCAGCCGGAGGCGGAGGCGCGCACCUGAUUUCAGCCGAAGUGGGGGAGGGAGAGCUGGAGGCCCGGAAGAGGUCGGCAGAGGCUUGGUGGUGGGGGAUGUGGGUAAAUGAGGAGGCGGGAAGCAGAGAUGGGCGAUAAAAUCAUUCUGAAAAGGCUAGAGAAUCUGCUUGAGAACCUAUUCUCCCCCACCCCCAAGCUCACCCCAUACAGCCCAUUCUUCGCUAAUUUCCUCCUCGCUCUAUUUCAGCAGUUGGAUGUAUCUCACACUGGGCGCCAUAUGCUUCACAAUAACUUUAAAAGUAGUGAAUCGGCUAAUUAGCAUUUUUCUUUGAAGUAAAAAAUAAAUUUGCUCUGCAAUAUUACACUGCAGCUCUCGAUCGCAUCACAGCCAGUUUUCUUUUGGAGAGGUUGGCUGGGGAUUUCAAAUCAAAGCACUUUUGCAAAGGAAAAAUCACAUACUUCUUUUUGAAACCUCAUGUUAAAGGUUGGAAAAUCCGAUGGGCAGUGUGUCUCUUUUCCAUGGGCAGGGGUAGUUUUUUUGGUUUUAGGGUCCAAGAAUAUAUUUCGUAAUCUUUGCUGGUCUGAUAAUUUCCUUAAGAUGAGCAGCAGUUUGGUUUAAUAAAAACAGGACCUAAUCGAACAUUUAAAGCACUUUUGAAACCAAAGCCAACUGCUCUCUGGCCAGACUGUAAGGGCUUGUAGCUGUCAAUCAACCCCCAGUCUACCCCGCCUCCCUCAUUAGGAAGGUAAACAAUGAAAAGAAGAAGUAGAUGAUGAGGCAGAUAGCAGAACAAAUGAGGACCUAGAGGGAAACAGGACACCAACUUAAAAAAAAAAAAAAAAGCAAGCCGUGGCCACUGACUCAUGCAGCCCCCUCCCCCCAGCGAAGGCACUUUCCAAAAAAACAGAAAGAAGUGCAAUCCUUUCGGGUUUCUCUCUUCUCUCCAUUGCCCUGGGCAAUCAUGUUAAAACUCACAUGGCUGGUGCUUAUUCAGAUAAACCUAACAAUGCACACCGCUGGUUACCAUGUGAAUCUUCAGAAACCACACAAGAAUGUGCUGGUUCAAAUCCCCCCUACCCUCUCCAAAGCAAAAUUUAUUCAAGACAGCAAACUGCUCAGCAGCUUUAUGAAAGCAAAUGGUGCUACAGGGAAUUCUAUCUUGUAUUUACAAAUUAAAAAUUAGAUGCACCAUGCAAUAAAGGUUAGAAUAGUACCAUGAAGCUAUAAUGGUUUAUUCAAUUUUAUCACUAUUCCUCUCACUAUAAGCUAAAAAACAUAUAUACAUAUAUAUGAAAGAUGCCAUAUAUUAAUUAUCCACAUUCAAUACAAAACAUCACACAAACAGUCACAUUGCAUUCUCAUUAAAAAAAAAAAUCUUUAAAAAAACUGUACUUAAUAAAAAGAAAUAUUCUAUAGUAUGGAGAAGAAUAAAGAAACUAUUACUAUGGAAAGGUAUUUUUUCUAACCCCCCAAAUUUUAAAAUAAUAAUGAAACAAGAAAACUGAAUAAAAGCCCUAUCUAUCAUAAUUUUAUUCUUUGCAUUAAAAUGCUACUGAGUUUCAGGAAUGCUGGACAAUUUUCUAAUCUAGUUCUUGUUCUUCAUCAGUCUCAUGCUAUACAACAGAUAUAUUAAUAGACCUCUUCAGGUUGGGAAGAUCUUAAAGGUCAUUUAGUCUAAUUUCAGGUAACUGUAGUUCUAGAAAUGUUAACUCAGAGAAAAACAUGCUAAAUUGAUAAAAGAUGUGUAACUGAAUUUUAUAAUUAUUAAGAUGGUUAACUUUGAUGACUACCAAUUUUUCCACUCCGACAAGAAAUCAUUCUGAUUAUAAGCUUUAAUUUAUAAUUCUCUAUUUCUAAAACAUUUUGAUAAGAGUUUUACAACUGGAAAAUUUUCCCCACCAUACACUU